Molecule: ribosomal RNA, 497 nt
Filed under: uncultured bacterium
Lineage: Bacteria
Description: partial 16S ribosomal RNA
Rfam family: Bacterial small subunit ribosomal RNA
Source: RNAcentral
GAUGAACGCUGGCGGCGUGCCUAAUACAUGCAAGUCGAGCGAACGGACGAGAAGCUUGCUUCUCUGAUGUUAGCGGCGGACGGGUGAGUAACACGUGGAUAACCUACCUAUAAGACUGGGAUAACUUCGGGAAACCGGAGCUAAUACCGGAUAAUAUUUUGAACCGCAUGGUUCAAAAGUGAAAGACGGUCUUGCUGUCACUUAUAGAUGGAUCAGCGCUGCAUUAGCUAGUUGGUAAGGUAACGGCUUACCAAGGCAACGAUGCAUAGCCGACCUGAGAGGGUGAUCGGCCACACUGGAACUGAGACACGGUCCAGACUCCUACGGGAGGCAGCAGUAGGGAAUCUUCCGCAAUGGGCGAAAGCCUGACGGAGCAACGCCGCGUGAGUGAUGAAGGUCUUCGGAUCGUAAAACUCUGUUAUUAGGGAAGAACAUAUGUGUAAGUAACUGUGCGCAUCUUGACGGUACCUAAUCAGAAAGCCACGGCUAACUACGUG